UAGCUCAGUUGGUAGAGCAUGGUGUUGGUAGAGCAUGGUGUUUGCAACGCCAGGGUUGUGGGUUCGAUUCCCAC
This 74-nucleotide transfer RNA is filed under the name Salmo salar (Atlantic salmon). It matches the Rfam family "tRNA", at positions 8 to 63 of the family's 71-position model. Rfam says of the family: Transfer RNA (tRNA) molecules are approximately 80 nucleotides in length. Their secondary structure includes four short double-helical elements and three loops (D, anti-codon, and T loops). The record is from Rfam by way of RNAcentral. Lineage: Eukaryota; Metazoa; Chordata; Actinopteri; Salmoniformes; Salmonidae.